Molecule: non-coding RNA, 1514 nt
Organism: Aegilops tauschii subsp. strangulata
Lineage: Eukaryota; Viridiplantae; Streptophyta; Magnoliopsida; Poales; Poaceae
Source: RefSeq, a predicted model, not a curated record
UAUGUUUCUAGUAACCCCGCCUCGAAUACGUAAUCUAGCAUGUUCCCCGAAACGUCUUCUUCCUCCUCUCCGUCGCCGUCGCCGGCCUCCAAUGGCCAUGGCGCUUUCCUCUCUCCUCCGGGAACCGGCCCUAAAAUCAAUGGGCAAUGGUCUGGGAAACCAUGGUAGGUAGGCCUCCUGCCGGCGACCCUGCCCCUCUUCGCCGCCAGCUCUCCAGAUCCACACAAGGGUCAUAUCACUCCAGCUCGAAUGUCAACAAGACUCCAUGCUCUUCUACAUGCUUACCGGCAAACAGGAGGCACGCAUCUCUGCCGCCGCAGCUCUUAUCAACGCCCGCUUUUGGAGGCAGUGUCUUUGAGCCUCAGCACAGAUACCAAGCACUCCCGCAUUCUAUCUUUAUGAAUGUAGUAUCUAGGAGAGAGUCUUGUUGAUGGCUUUGACAAAGAUAUCCAGUGACAGUAACCAGUCCAGACACACUUGCCUUGGUGAUAUGAAUAUGAGAUCUACGCAAUACAAUGCAAUUUAGUUAGCUUCUUUGUUGACUUGUGUGAGGAUCCGAGGUGGGCAUAUAACCAUGCCGGCUCAAGUCCUACCAAAUUGCAUCUGCAUUUUCAAGCCUCCCUUUCUUUUUAUUGUUGAUAGGCCUUGGCUUGGUUCUUAGCCUUCUUGUUAAUGUUUACUACUCCCUCUGUAAAGAAAUAUAAGAGCAUUUAGAUCACUACUCUAGUGAUCUAAACGCUCUUAUAUUUCUUUACGGAGGGAGUACUGAUUAAUGAAGGAAGGAAGCUUGUUCACAAAAAAUUAUAUAUCUCUGUUUAUUUUAGUGUUCUUGACCUGAUCCGAUGAAUUUUUUUUUUAGCUACAUAAACAAAUAAAAUCGGAUUGUUUUUCUUAGAAAAGAGAAUAAGAAGAAAAAAGAGGAACUUCUGAAACCCUCUAGAACUGUAGGGUAAUGUUGCCUGCAUGCCCACAGUUUUGAGAAUAGAAAAACAAUUACACUGCUCCCUUUCUGGACCUCUACAGAACAAGCUCUAGUGCUACGGUUGCAAAACACAAUGGCUCUGCAUUUAUUUGAUACAGUUGUAAAGCAUCAUCGCUCUAAGAACAAUUACUAACUGAAACGUUACAUACAUUUUUUUAUCAUGCAGGAUCAUACAUUAUACUAGCUUGUUUAUUCAAGGCUAUUCUUGAUUUCUCGAGUCGAGGCAUCUUUUUCUGCUCCAUGCCCCCCUAUAAAUUUGAGCCACAUUGUUGGGUCAGCUAUCUCCAAGGUUCUAUCUGGAAGAGCAUCCUCAGCAAACUUAUGCAGAUCCAAUGAAUCACUGAAUGUGCCUUCUGUUGGGCUCCUUCCGGUAAACAUCUCAAGCAGCAAUAUGCCAAGGCUAUAAAUAUCACCAGCUGUUGAGGCCGCAGAGCCUUCUCCAUACUCUACAAUCAUGCAAAGCUUUCUGGUUAGCAUGCCAUAUUCAAGUGAAAAGGAAAAUAUAAAUUAGAAUAGUUUCGGUCACCUGGAG